UACGUAGGGUGCGAGCGUUAAUCGGAAUUACUGGGCGUAAAGUGUGCGCAGGCGGCCGCGCAAGUCGAGUGUGAAAGCCCCGAGCUUAACUUGGGAAUUGCGCUCGAAACUACGUGGCUAGGAGUGUGGCAGAGGGGGGUGGAAUUCCACGUGUAGCAGUGAAAUGCGUAGAGAGUCGGCAGGAACACCCAGGGGGAAACCGAGCCGACUGGGCAAGUGCUGACGCUGAGGUGCGAGAGCGUGGGGAGCGAACCGG
This 256-nucleotide ribosomal RNA is filed under the name uncultured bacterium. RNAcentral describes it as "partial 16S ribosomal RNA". It matches the Rfam family "Bacterial small subunit ribosomal RNA", at positions 524 to 776 of the family's 1533-position model. The record is from RNAcentral.